This is a non-coding RNA of Solanum tuberosum (potato), 76 nucleotides long. Lineage: Eukaryota; Viridiplantae; Streptophyta; Magnoliopsida; Solanales; Solanaceae. The record is from RefSeq and is marked provisional.
UUUAAAUGAGAAUUUUGGACUAUUCGUAACAAUAAUUAUAAAAUUAAUGGGAUAGUUUUAAUUUUUUAUUUAAUUG